UAGGGAAUCUUCCACAAUGGACGCAAGUCUGAUGGAGCAACGCCGCGUGAGUGAAGAAGGUCUUUGGAUCGUAAAGCUCUGUUGUUGGUGAAGAAGGAUAGAGGCAGUAACUGGUCUUUAUUUGACGGUAAUCAACCAGAAAGUCACGGCUAACUACGUGCCAGCAGCCGCGGUAAUACGUAGGUGGCAAGCGUUGUCCGGAUUUAUUGGGCGUAAAGCGAGCGCAGGCGGAAUGAUAAGUCUGAUGUGAAAGCCCACGGCUCACCGUGGA
This 271-nucleotide ribosomal RNA is filed under the name uncultured bacterium. Its description in RNAcentral is "partial 16S ribosomal RNA". It matches the Rfam family "Bacterial small subunit ribosomal RNA", at positions 355 to 619 of the family's 1533-position model. The record is from RNAcentral.